RNAcentral lists this ribosomal RNA (321 nucleotides) under Triticum aestivum (bread wheat). RNAcentral describes it as "partial small subunit ribosomal RNA". The record is from RNAcentral. Lineage: Eukaryota; Viridiplantae; Streptophyta; Magnoliopsida; Poales; Poaceae.
AUGUAUAUCCAAUAUACUUCUAUCGACCUUGCCAGCCUUCUCAUCUACCAAGUAUCUAGGGUAAUUCUGCUCCAGUGGUUGUUCCCCUUAUUACAGAAGCACUUAGUCUCGGGUUUGGGUUCAACUUUGGGUUUCUUCACUAGAGCAGCAGCUGAUUUGCCGUUUCAUGAAGUAUCCCUUCUUGCCCUUGCCCUUCUUGCCCUUGCCCUUCUUGAAACUAGUGGUUUCACCAACCAUCAACAAUUGAUGCUCCUUCUUGAUUUCUACUUUCGCGGUGUCAAACAUCGCGAAUAUCUCAAGGAUCAUCAUAUCUAUCCCUGA